CAGCAGCCACGGGAAUACAGAGGUCUCAAGCGUUGUUCGGAUUCAUUGGGAGUAAAGGGUGCGUAGGUGGCGGGGUAAGUCAGGUGUGAAAUCUCGGGGCUCAACCUCGAAACUGCACUUGAUACUGCCUUGCUAGAGUAUUGGAGAGGAGAUUGGAAUUUACGGUGUAGCAGUGAAAUGCGUAGAUAUCGUAAGGAAGACCAGUGGCGAAGGCGAAUCUCUGGACAAUUACUGACACUGAGGCACGAAGGCCAGGGGAGCAAACGGGAUUAGAUACCCGGGUAGUCCCUGUCUCUUAUAC
This 301-nucleotide ribosomal RNA is filed under the name uncultured bacterium. RNAcentral's name for it is "partial 16S ribosomal RNA". It matches the Rfam family "Bacterial small subunit ribosomal RNA", at positions 509 to 807 of the family's 1533-position model. The record is from RNAcentral.